This 270-nucleotide ribosomal RNA is filed under the name Spirobranchus triqueter. Its description in RNAcentral is "partial 18S ribosomal RNA". It matches the Rfam family "Eukaryotic small subunit ribosomal RNA", at positions 127 to 387 of the family's 1831-position model. The record is from RNAcentral. Lineage: Eukaryota; Metazoa; Annelida; Polychaeta; Sabellida; Serpulidae.
CUUCAGGGAUGUUUGGAUAACUGUGGCAAUUCUAGAGCUAAUACAUGCAAUCAAGCUCCAACCUUCGUGGGACGAGCGCUCUUAUUAGACCAAGGCCAACCUGCUGGGCAACUGGCAGUUAGCUGUGGUGACUCUGGAUAAACAUAGUUGAUCGCACGACUUUACGUCGGCGACGUAUCUUUCAAGCGUAUGCCCUAUCAGCUGUCGACGGUAGGGUAGCGGCCUACCGUGGCAUCAACGGGUAACGGGGGAUCAGGGUCCGAUCCCGGA